Molecule: long non-coding RNA, 217 nt
Filed under: Ananas comosus (pineapple)
Lineage: Eukaryota; Viridiplantae; Streptophyta; Magnoliopsida; Poales; Bromeliaceae
Description: long non-coding RNA (ACOM_LNC010108)
Source: RNAcentral
AAAAGUGAGAACUUGCAUCAAACUGGCGAAAAUCAGCUUUUUCUGCUUGCUGUACCGGUACAGACAUCACCUUGUACCGGUACAAGCUGGCAGAUUCGUGGCAGCAAGGCUAUUUUAGUCUUUUCACAUCUUGAUCUCAUCCAUAUGAAGCCAGCACGACUUCUGGAGCUCAGUGGAGGUUGCUGAGGCUCAGAGCACCCUUCUUCUCAUUUUUCUC